This 377-nucleotide ribosomal RNA is filed under the name uncultured bacterium. RNAcentral describes it as "bacterial SSU rRNA". It matches the Rfam family "Bacterial small subunit ribosomal RNA", at positions 28 to 404 of the family's 1533-position model. The record is from RNAcentral.
GACGAACGCUGGCGGCGUGCUUAACACAUGCAAGUCGAGCGGUAAGGCCCUUUCGGGGGUACACGAGCGGCGAACGGGUGAGUAACACGUGGGUGACCUGCCCUCAGCUCUGGGAUAAGCCUGGGAAACCGGGUCUAAUACUGGAUAUGACUCCAUGACGCAUGUUGUGGGGUGGAAAGCCUUGUGCGGCUGAGGAUGGGCCCGCGGCCUAUCGGCUUGUUGGUGGGGUGAUGGCCUACCAAGGCGACGACGGGUAGCCGGCCUGAGAGGGCGACCGGCCACACUGGGGACUGAGACACGGCCCAGACUCCUACGGGAGGCAGCAGUGGGUAAUCUUGCGACAAUGGGACGAAAGCCUGACGCAGCGACGCGCGUGA